GAGGGGGUGGAGAGGAGUUCUCGACGGCGGCGUGAGGCCGAAACCGUCGGUGCGAAGGGGGAAACUAAACUCUUAUCGCUUUUCUGUUGCCCCAAAGAGAGGAGAGAGAAAAAACGUCUAUAUUCCAAAGAACUUAUUAUUACUUGGACAAUAGGUGAAUAAUUAAGUAUUUCCACAUACACGCAUAACAUAUAAAGUUUUUUGGGUUGUAUAUAUUCUUUAAAAUUUAUAAGUAUAUUAAUUAAAAAAGUAUAUUAAUUAAAUAAAUAAAAACAUAUCAAUAUAUAUUUUU
Molecule: long non-coding RNA, 292 nt
Filed under: Brassica napus (rape)
Lineage: Eukaryota; Viridiplantae; Streptophyta; Magnoliopsida; Brassicales; Brassicaceae
Description: long non-coding RNA (BNAP_LNC012275)
Source: RNAcentral